CCUACGGGAGGCAGCAGUGGGGAAUUUUGCGCAAUGGGGGAAACCCUGACGCAGCGACGCCGCGUGGAGGAUGAAAUAUCUUGGUAUGUAAACUCCUUUCGAUGGGGAAGAUAAUGACGGUACCCAUAGAAGAAGCCCCGGCUAACUUCGUGCCAGCAGCCGCGGUAAUACGAGGGGGGCAAGCGUUGUUCGGAUUUAUUGGGCGUAAAGGGUGCGUAGGCGGUUUGGCAAGUCUUGUGUGAAAUCUUCGGGCUCAACCCGAAGCCUGCACAAGAAACUGCCGGGCUUGAGUAUUGGAGAGGUGAGUGGAAUUUCCGGUGUAGCGGUGAAAUGCGUAGAUAUCGGAAGGAACACCUGUGGCGAAAGCGGCUCACUGGACAAUAACUGACGCUGAUGCACGAAAGCUAGGGGAGCAAACAGGAUUAGAUACCCUGGUAGUCCUAGCCCUAAACGAUGAUUGUUUGAUGUGGCAGGUACCCAAUCCUGCCGUGUCGAAGCUAACGCGAUAAACAAUCCGCCUGGGGAGUACGGUCGCAAGGCUGAAACUUAAAGNGAAUUGACGG
This 563-nucleotide ribosomal RNA is filed under the name uncultured bacterium. RNAcentral's name for it is "bacterial SSU rRNA". It matches the Rfam family "Bacterial small subunit ribosomal RNA", at positions 338 to 916 of the family's 1533-position model. The record is from RNAcentral.